RNAcentral lists this long non-coding RNA (308 nucleotides) under Elaeis guineensis (African oil palm). Its description in RNAcentral is "long non-coding RNA (EGUI_LNC055142)". The record is from RNAcentral. Lineage: Eukaryota; Viridiplantae; Streptophyta; Magnoliopsida; Arecales; Arecaceae.
GAUCCACACAUAGACUUCACAAGUACUUAACUGUAUCCAAUAACCUUCUAUUACUACAUUAAAAAUCUAAGUAGUUCGACACCAAAGCACAGUGAGUUGCUUGCAAGUCACUAUGGUGAUCUCAGAUCUAAAGGAUAUUUAUACCUAUGUGUUUCGCGAGCAGCUCUUGACAACAGAAUGCUUAAUAGGUGAGUCACUUGUUCAGUGACGAUGUACCCUUACAUCUCACCUAUAUGCCAUACCAGUGUCACCACACUCCUUGGUUAAGAGGAUAACUAAUCUAUAUGGCACACAACGACCUUCACUCG